RNAcentral lists this long non-coding RNA (655 nucleotides) under Mus spicilegus (steppe mouse). RNAcentral describes it as "lncRNA (ENSMSIG00000010938.1)". Lineage: Eukaryota; Metazoa; Chordata; Mammalia; Rodentia; Muridae. The record is from RNAcentral.
AUGCUGGAGACCCAGGGAUGCCAUGGUAAUGACCCAGAAACCCAACUCUUUUCUGGUUUUAGAAGAGAUUUUAAUGAUUAAGACGAGAAACAUGGAAUCCAUCACCUAGAUCUUCUUAUACCAGCCAAGUAUUCUCUAGCAUACAAGUUAGCCAUGGAAGCAAGGUGAACAGAGCCAGACAGCAGCCUGCACCAUGCAGAACUGCACCGGCAGUUCCUGCCUUAAGAUUUGUCCUUAUUUGAUGGGGAUGAGCACCUAAUUGGACCGUGGCUGGAUGGAUUUUCCCUUGUUUGCAGCUGACAGCUUGCCUGGAUGUCGGUCUGCAGUGUAAAAUUCGAUUUAAGAAAUGUCAACUCUGAAGUCUUCAGUGGAGACUCUUAAAUAUGUCCCGUGACCACUGUGAUAACAUUGGCACCCAGAAGAGAUGGAGCACACCCCUGGGAGCUGUAGACAGGAGCAGAGGUCAGAGGUCAGUUCUCUGGAAAGGUGAAGAAAUGUCAGAAGGUCAUCGGUCUCCUCACCACAGAGAUUCGUGGAUUACAUGCUCAGCACUGUGCAGAAGGUGACAGGUGGUCAGGUGUGACUUCUGUCACCGGGAGCCAGCCAUCCACAAAGGAAAUGGCCUAAUCAUAUGCGCUAUGAUGGAGGGAGGGCA